UGAGGAAUUUUGCUCAAUGGGCGAAAGCCUGAAGCAGCGACGCCGCGUGAACGAUGAAGUCUUUCGGGAUGUAAAGUUCUGUCAGCAGGGAAAAUUAUGAUGGUACCUGCAGAGGAAGGCCCGGCAAACUAUGUGCCAGCAGCCGCGGUAAUACAUAGGGGCCAAGCGUUGUCCGGAAUUAUUGGGCGUAAAGGGCAUGUAGGCGGUGAUCUAAGUCAGAAUUAAAAGACAGGAGCUCAACUCCUGUGCGGUUCUGAAACUGGAUUGCUAGAGUUUGGGAGAGGGAAGUGGAAUUAACAGUGUAGCGGUGAAAUGCGUAGAUAUUGUUAAGAACACCCGUGGCGAAGGCGGCUUCCUGGACCAAAACUGACGCUGAGGUGCGAAAGCGUGGGUAGCAAACAGG
Molecule: ribosomal RNA, 403 nt
Filed under: uncultured bacterium
Lineage: Bacteria
Description: bacterial SSU rRNA
Rfam family: Bacterial small subunit ribosomal RNA
Source: RNAcentral